GUCUCUGUGGUACAAUGGAUAGCAUGUUAGACUUUUAAUUCAAAGGUUGUGGGUUCAAGUCCCACCAGAGUCA
Non-coding RNA from Alligator sinensis (Chinese alligator), 73 nucleotides. Lineage: Eukaryota; Metazoa; Chordata; Crocodylia; Alligatoridae. The record is from the annotation of a RefSeq genome assembly.